UGGGGAAUAUUGCGCAAUGGGGGAAACCCUGACGCAGCAACGCCGCGUGAAGGAUGAAGGCUUUCGGGUUGUAAACUUCUUUGAUCGGGGACGAAGAUGACGGUACCCGGGGAACAAGCCACGGCUAACUACGUGCCAGCAGCCGCGGUAAUACGUAGGUGGCAAGCGUUGUCCGGAAUUACUGGGUGUAAAGGGCGUGUAGGCGGGAAGGCAAGUCAGAUGUGAAAUCCCAGGGCUUAACUCUGGAGCUGCAUCUGAAACUGUUUUUCUUGAGUACUGGAGAGGAGAGGGGAAUUCCUGGUGUAGCGGUGAAAUGCGUAGAGAUUAGGAGGAACACCAGUGGAGAAGGCGGCUUUCUGGACAGUAACUGACGCUGAGGCGCGAAAGCGUGGGGAGCAAACAGG
RNAcentral lists this ribosomal RNA (404 nucleotides) under uncultured prokaryote. RNAcentral's name for it is "bacterial SSU rRNA". It matches the Rfam family "Bacterial small subunit ribosomal RNA", at positions 355 to 776 of the family's 1533-position model. The record is from RNAcentral. RNAcentral also lists the same sequence under 1 other name.